UCUUGACCUUGUAAGACCC
Molecule: small nuclear RNA, 19 nt
Filed under: Arabidopsis thaliana (thale cress)
Lineage: Eukaryota; Viridiplantae; Streptophyta; Magnoliopsida; Brassicales; Brassicaceae
Description: snRNA_08438
Source: RNAcentral